This 483-nucleotide ribosomal RNA is filed under the name uncultured bacterium. Its description in RNAcentral is "partial 16S ribosomal RNA". It matches the Rfam family "Bacterial small subunit ribosomal RNA", at positions 30 to 506 of the family's 1533-position model. The record is from RNAcentral.
AUUGAACGCUGGCGGCAGGCCUAACACAUGCAAGUCGAGCGGAUGAAGGGAGCUUGCUCCUGGAUUCAGCGGCGGACGGGUGAGUAAUGCCUAGGAAUCUGCCUGGUAGUGGGGGAUAACGUCCGGAAACGGGCGCUAAUACCGCAUACGUCCUGAGGGAGAAAGUGGGGGAUCUUCGGACCUCACGCUAUCAGAUAAGCCUAGGUCGGAUUAGCUAGUUGGUGGGGUAAAGGCCUACCAAGGCGACGAUCCGUAACUGGUCUGAGAGGAUGAUCAGUCACACUGGAACUGAGACACGGUCCAGACUCCUACGGGAGGCAGCAGUGGGGAAUAUUGGACAAUGGGCGAAAGCCUGAUCCAGCCAUGCCGCGUGUGUGAAGAAGGUCUUCGGAUUGUAAAGCACUUUAAGUUGGGAGGAAGGGCAGUAAGUUAAUACCUUGCUGUUUUGACGUUACCAACAGAAUAAGCACCGGCUAACUUCGU